GAUGAACGCUGGCGGCGUGCUUAACACAUGCAAGUCGAACGGAAAGGCUCCUGCUUGCAGGGGUACUCGAGUGGCGAACGGGUGAGUAACACGUGGGUGAUCUGCCCUGCACUUCGGGAUAAGCCUGGGAAACUGGGUCUAAUACCGGAUAGGACGAUGGUUUAGAUGCCAUUGUGGAAAGUUUUUCGGUGUGGGAUGAGCUCGCGGCCUAUCAGCUUGUUGGUGGGGUAAUGGCCUACCAAGGCGUCGACGGGUAGCCGGCCUGAGAGGGUGUACGGCCACAUUGGGACUGAGAUACGGCCCAGACUCCUACGGGAGGCAGCAGUGGGGAAUAUUGCACAAUGGGCGCAAGCCUGAUGCAGCGACGCCGCGUGGGGGAUGACGGCCUUCGGGUUGUAAACUCCUUUCGCUAGGGACGAAGCGCAAGUGACGGUACCUGGAGAAGAAGCACCGGCUAACUACGUG
RNAcentral lists this ribosomal RNA (465 nucleotides) under uncultured bacterium. RNAcentral describes it as "partial 16S ribosomal RNA". It matches the Rfam family "Bacterial small subunit ribosomal RNA", at positions 28 to 507 of the family's 1533-position model. The record is from RNAcentral.